Molecule: long non-coding RNA, 3051 nt
Filed under: Fragaria vesca (wild strawberry)
Lineage: Eukaryota; Viridiplantae; Streptophyta; Magnoliopsida; Rosales; Rosaceae
Description: long non-coding RNA (FVES_LNC001687)
Source: RNAcentral
UCUCUAAAACCCUAGGGAGCGCCGCUUCUCCUUUCUCGUCCUGUCCGGCUGCAACUCUGUACCAGUGAUGGCCUUUCACCUCGUCAAUGCAUGAGCAGUGCGGCUGGAUGGGAGUUAUUUGGUCGGCUAAUUCAGUCCAGGAGGCAUGAGUCUGGUUCCAGUUUUUGUUCGUGGUUAGUAGGAGUGUUUGGACUGUGGUGGGGAAGGGGAAUGGAGGCGGGUUUGGCUGGGAUCAGAGCCCGAUCGGCGUCGAGGCAUAGUGGAAGCGAUGGGUGUUGGUGGUUGGCUUGGUUGACGCGCUCGAUGGUCUUCCUCGGUCUGCUUGUUGUGCUCCGAUCUAGAGGCUGGCUGGGGGUGGACCAUCGCAAGUUGAGGUCGUCUUGAUGGCGGCAGUGACGGGUCGGUGGUGCUAAUCUGGAGCCGGUGGUGCAGCGGUGGUUGUGGUGACUGGGUGGUCUGAUGGGUCACUUCUUAGGCCGAGAGGGAAGACGGGGCUGCCUUUGUCUGUUGGGUUUGGGUGUAGCCUGAAGGUUCCAUAUUCAGCUGGAGGUUUGGCUAGGGUUUCUUUUCGGCCCUGGUUUUUCUUUUAUGCUUUUCAUUAUUGUUUUAGUUAUUAGUUAGACUACGGUUGCUUGCGGGUCUAAAACAUUUACUUAGUUAUUGGAUUUGACUUUUAAUUAGAGUUUGUUGAUGCUCUAAGGUUGCCUCCUCUGCGUAAGGUGGUCCCGGAAGUAGUCAAAUAAUGAUAGGUAGUGGAUUUGUCCCUUCCUCCUUGUGUCUCGGUGGCUGAUUGCUUGUCCCGUUUGCUACCACGGAAGAUUGAUCAUAACGCUUUAUCCCAUGGUCUUCAGCAUAAAUAUUACUUAGUGUCUACUAGGUAGUUUCGCAAGAUAGCCCCUGUGGGCGGAUUAUGUUUAUGUUGUUAUACUUACUCUCAAAUUGUGAUCAAUAAAAAUUAACGUCAUUAGAUAAAAAAAUAAGGGAAAAUACCCAUUUGCACAUAAUCAAGAAUUUUAAAGCCUAUUUGAAUGAAAAAAGUUUUUCAUAGCCCAUACCAAUGAAAUUUAACAAAAAGACGAUUUUACCCAUUGAAUUUAUAAAUUCUCUCACGUCUCAUUCUCAUCCUUCUCUCUCUCUCUCUCAAACCUAACGUUGACGACGACUGUGUCCUUGUUCUUCGGCACCGACCGCGACGGCAAGAUCAGCAAGGACGAGCAAUCAAAUCCGGCUAUCUCGACGAGUCUCGCAUCAGAUCUGAUCAAGUAGAUCCGGUAAAACCGAGUCCAUGGUGCGACUGGCAAUUUCAAACGAAGGAGCGCGUGAGGGUUACUAGCUAGAAUUGUUGGAGCACCCGUCGGUGUCUACUUGCGGUGGUUUUGAGAUUUGGUUCUUCCGGUGAGAAGAUUCGAAGGUUUGGAAUCCAGAUCGGGUUUUGGUUGCGUCCUCCAACCUCGUCCUAUUGUGGUUAUUUGUUUUGGCCGGGUGUUCUUUUAAUUUUUUGUCAAUUGCUAGGUUUUGGUUGGGUUGUCAGUGCAAAUUAUUAGGGGUAGUAAACUGUGGUGGUAGUGAGGGCGUGACGUCCGCAAAUUGGGAGGUUUUCUCCUUGAUUCUUGAUAGUCAACACUAGUGUUAGGAGACGUGUAUUGUGUAGGUGCAUGCCUUUCAUAAUUUUCAACGGCGUUGUGUAUUCAUAUGAGAUAGGUGUAAAGCUACAAUGUGUUGCUCAUGUGUCAUUUGUGUACAUUAAUAUGCCUUUCACAAUUCCUACCUUUCUUUUCUGUUGGACAUUCUUUGUUUCUUGUAUUUUAAAUGAUUAUUGGCUCACUAAAUUGGGUUAACCAUUUAUUACUGGUGGUCAAUAAUUUAUUAUUAGGAGUCGGUAACAUGUUUAUUACCGGUGGCUCCCGAAGCUAUUCGUUGGUGUGAGGAUUUUUCCUUGCAGUACUCCUUAGCUUGAUUAUUCGUGUUGUAGUUUUGACUGAUUAUUGGCGGCCAAUAACUCGAUUAUGUUUUGGUAUUUCUUCUUUUCUAUUACAAUAAGUUUGAUUAUUGGGGGUCAAUAACCCAGUUAUUGGGGGUCAAUAACUGAUUAUUAGGGGCAGUAACCAAGUUAUGGGUCAGUAACUGAGUUACAGGUGACAGGAAUCCGGCGACUGGAGAAAAUUUGAGUUACUAGGGGUUAGUAAUUGAUUAUUGGGGGUCAGUAACCAAGUUAUUGGGGGUCAGUAACUGAUUACUGGGGGUCAGUAACUGAGUUACCGGUGACCGGAAUCUGCGACCGGAAUCUGACGACUGGAGAAAUCCGGCAACCGGUGACCGUAGUCCGGCGGCCGGUGACCAGAGUCCGACGGCCGGUGACUGGAGUCCGGUGACAUUCCGGCCAAAUAUUCUCUCUUCCAUUUUCUCUCUCUAUGCAUGUUUAAGGGGUGAGGGCAAAAUAGUCUUAAAAUAAUAUAGUUUGUUAAGACUUUAGUAAAGAUUUGUGCAUUUGAGCAUAAAAGAGGUUACCUUAUAUUGAAAUGGGCUAAUGAAAAAGAUUAUCAUUGGAAUGAGGAAUGAGGGGUUUAAAUUAGUACUAAAUGGGCAUUUUCCCAAAAAAUAAAAAUAAAAAACUUCUUUUAUAUGUUUUCUUAAGACUGCUCCCUAACCCAUGUUUGUUACACGGGACACUGUAACCCAGGCUUAAAUUCUAAUAUAGUCUAACACUACUUAAGCCAGGCUUAUUUUUCAAUAAUCCUAACCCAUGUUUAGUGUCACUUAGGACUAAAAAGCAUAAUAACAGUAUACUUCUGACAAUGCAGCCUCUCCAUGCUUCCUAAAACAGCCUCUCCAUCGAAUUUCAUCACCACCUCCUAUUUUCUUUAAAACUGAAUGUGGAAUUGUUGAAAAUAAAGAAAAUUAGAAGGCACAAACAGAGGGCAUAAACAGAUGGUUUUACCAUGCAACAACGCAUUGGCUUUACCAUGAUUGCUUUUGUGUUGUCUGCCAAUUCGCUCACAAUAUCUGUUUCUUGACAUGCUGUAGACCAUGAGUCGGGAUUGAGUCCAAACU